Molecule: RNase P RNA, 430 nt
Filed under: Spirochaetaceae bacterium
Lineage: Bacteria; Pseudomonadati; Spirochaetota; Spirochaetia; Spirochaetales; Spirochaetaceae
Description: RNase P RNA component class A
Rfam family: Bacterial RNase P class A
About the family: Ribonuclease P (RNase P) is a ubiquitous endoribonuclease, found in archaea, bacteria and eukarya as well as chloroplasts and mitochondria. Its best characterised activity is the generation of mature 5'-ends of tRNAs by cleaving the 5'-leader elements of precursor-tRNAs.
Source: RNAcentral
ACAUUGAACCAGACUAUCGCAAGGUAAAACUUGAGGAAAGUCCGGGCUCCGCAGGGCAGAAUGCCGGAUAACAUCCGGGCAGGGGAAAAAGGCUGAUUUUUCAGAACCGGUUCCUCUGACAGAAAGCGCAACAGAAAAUAUACAGCACACGCAAAAUGCUUUGCAUCGAGCGUUGCAAUGGUGAAAUGGCGGGGUAAGAGCCCACCGGGUUUGCAGUAAUGCAAAUCGUUUUGGAGUUUGCUUGCAAACUCCGGAAGCAAAAUUCGCAAGAAUUUUGCGUUGGCAAACCUCAUUCGGAGCAAAGUCAAACAGAGGGUUAUACGGCUGCCCGUCGUAUCCUCGGGUAGGCUGCUAAAGAUAUGGGGUAACUCAUAUCGUAGACAGAUGAUUGGUCUUAAAUACAGAACCCGGCUUAUGGUUCAAUGUCUUU